CCGCGGUCCGAGCCCGGCGAGGAGCCGCCGCCGCUGCCGGAGCCCGGUGAGCCGGUGCCGAAGCCCGGCGAGCCGCCCAGGGAGCCAGGGGAGCUGGUGCCGAUGCCAGGCGAGGCGGGUCCUGGAGAGCCGGUGAAGGAGCCCGGCGAGGAGGUGCCGGAGCCGGGGGACGGCGUGCCGGAGGAGCCCAGGGCAGACCCGGCUCCCUCCGGCGCUGGGCGACUCCCAGACCGGGACUCCUCGUACGCCUUCCGCCACUGAAUUCAUGGUGGCUUCGCAGAGCGGCGGGAGAAUUUCCCAGAGGUUUGCCAGUCCUCAUCCGAAGGGAAUAGCCGGUCCCGGGCAGUCCCCUGCGGAGCGGGCAGGCAGCUCUCUCCGCCGCCUCUGAUGGGAUCGCUCGGCCCCAAAACACCAAGCAGCAGCAUCCCGAGCAGUGGCGUUCCCCCCACAGGCAGCACAGGUCUCCUCCGUAAGCCAGGCGGAGCAUCCGAGGUAGCUCUGGGAAGGUGAAAGCGGGAGCCGCGCUCUCCCUAGCAGAGGCGCUUGUCUGCCUCCGCUACAGCGGCAACUUGUUUCCUUCACCAAGGUUUGUAACUGAGUUAAAAGAAAUCCUCCAAAAAUAUCGGGAUCCAGGCUCUGGGAGGAGCCUCCGCGUUCCUUGCAGCCAAUAUCCUCCUGCCCAUUCGUGCCUGACAAUUUUGUAAGGGAGGGAAGGAGGGGAGGGAAGAGAAGACACAGGCGGAGGAGCCCCGUGCGCUGCUCGGUCAGCGGCGGAGCUACAAGGCCGGCGGCGAGCAGAGUGCCAGAGCCUCUCCUCAGGUCUGCGCGGUGCCGCGCCUGCCGGGAGGGUCCAUCUUAUUUUGCAGUGUUUCUUGAUUGACGUCUGUGAUUUCCCCCCUCUUUUUGUAAAGGGUGGGGGAACCUUGUUGCUUCCACCGCAGUUAUUGGUUAGUUGCCUCUAUUCAGGGCUUUAACGAGCGUGAUUUCACAAGCGCUCCCGGUCCUCCCUAAGUAACUACGAAAGAAAAGCCAGCUGUAUUUAUGACAGUCACUGGUAUCUCUUUUCCAUGUUGCGAUUUUACGUGUAUUAAUUUAACUUGCAGUCAAGGGCAUAAUAAA
Long non-coding RNA from Melopsittacus undulatus (budgerigar), 1119 nucleotides. RefSeq lists it as uncharacterized. Lineage: Eukaryota; Metazoa; Chordata; Aves; Psittaciformes; Psittaculidae. The transcript is spliced from 3 exons. The record is from RefSeq and is a predicted model, not a curated record.